GACAAUGUGUCUUCUCACCCUUUACUAUGGUUUCUUUUGCCUCUGCAAGUUAGUUCUCCAAAAAAGAGACCAGAGCUGCUAUAUGCUGGCUUAUGAGUGUUACAAGGCCAAAGAGGACAUGAAGGUCAACAGUGAUUCCUGCGCAAAAAUCGUCAUGCAGAACAAGAAUCUGGGAUUGGAAGAACUCAGGUUUCUCUUGAAAACUAUUGUCAAUUCCGGCAUUGGUGAAGAAACUUCUUGCCCAAGAAACAUCAUUGAAUGCCGAAAUUCAACCAUAGAAGAUGAGCUUCAUGAGAUGGAUGGUAUAAUAUUUGACACACUUGACAAGCUUUUUGCUAGGUCUACUUCAAUUUCUCCUUCACAAAUCGACAUUCUGGUUGUCAAUGUGUCAAUGUUCUCCCCUGCACCCUCUCUAACAUCUCGUAUAAUAAAUCGUUACAAGAUGAGGGAGGACAUCAAGACCUUCAACCUCUCAGGAAUGGGAUGCAGUGAAAGUCUCAUUGCUAUUGAUGUUGUACAAAACUUGUUCAAGUCAUACAAAAACGCAAAUGCAAUUGUUGUAAGCACAGAAUCCAUAGCUCCUAACUGGUACUGUGGCAAAGAAAAGUCCAUGAUGCUCACCAACUGUCUGUUCCGCUCGGGAGGGUGUUCGAUGCUGUUCACAAACAACAGAGACCUAAAGCACCGAGCCAUGUUGAAGUUAAAGCAUCUGGUACGAACCCACAUUGGCUCAAGUAAUGAAGCGUAUGAUUGCUGCAUACAGGCAGAAGAUGAGAGUGGAUAUCAAGGUUUUCGCCUUACCAAAUACCUCACAAAAGCAGCUGCUCUGGCUUUUACAAUGAACCUCCAAAUUCUAGUCCCUAAAAUGCUUCCACUAAGAGAAAUUCUCAGGUAUCUGUUGGCAUCUCUGCUUCAUAAUUUAAGUAAUAAGAGCCAAAACCUAGAAGCAGAUGGGGGAGAUGGUGUGAAACUGAAUAUUAAGACUGGGAUCGAGCACUUUUGCAUUCACCCUGGUGGAAGAGCAAUCAUAGAUGGGAUUGGUAAGAGCUUGGGGCUAAGUGAUUAUGAUGUAGAGCCAUCUAGAAUGGCCCUUUACAGGUUUGGUAACACAUCAGCAGCUGGCUUUUGGUAUGCUUUGGGAUACAUGGAGGCCAAGCAGAGGCUUAAGAAGGGCAACAGAAUUCUGAUGAGUGGAUUUGGAGCAGGUUUUAAGUGCAACAAUAUUGUGUGGGAAGUACUCAAGGACUUGGAGGAUGCCAAUGUUUGGAAAGAUUGCAUAGACAGUUACCCUCCUGAAACCCUAGUCAAUCCAUUCAUGGAGAAGUAUGGUUGGCUCAAUGAUGAAUAUCUAAGCUUUCUUAGGCUUGAUUUUUCCCAAAUAUUUGCUUA
Molecule: long non-coding RNA, 1389 nt
Filed under: Prunus dulcis (almond)
Lineage: Eukaryota; Viridiplantae; Streptophyta; Magnoliopsida; Rosales; Rosaceae
Description: sRNA ncRNA
Source: RNAcentral